AGAUUUCUUCUGAUGAAGAGCUUCAGCUAUGAUAUGAGAUCUGGGAAUCUCCUCCAAUCCACUAAAGGGUAUUUUGUCAAAUACAGACAUACCCAAGAGAUGAGCAUACUCCUCUAACAUAGGCACAAGCUGGUAAUCAGGAAAAGUGAAGCAUCGGUACAGAGGGUCAUAGAACUGAACCAAAACGCUUAAAAGUCCUUCAACCACAU
RNAcentral lists this long non-coding RNA (209 nucleotides) under Lathyrus oleraceus (garden pea). RNAcentral's name for it is "Pisum sativum (pea) long non-coding RNA (PSAT_LNC005583)". The record is from RNAcentral. Lineage: Eukaryota; Viridiplantae; Streptophyta; Magnoliopsida; Fabales; Fabaceae.